RNAcentral lists this unclassified non-coding RNA (291 nucleotides) under Paraconiothyrium archidendri. RNAcentral describes it as "partial internal transcribed spacer region". The stretch from base 1 to 46 matches the Rfam family "Eukaryotic small subunit ribosomal RNA", at positions 1786 to 1831 of the family's 1831-position model. Lineage: Eukaryota; Fungi; Ascomycota; Dothideomycetes; Pleosporales; Didymosphaeriaceae. The record is from RNAcentral.
AAGUCGUAACAAGGUUUCCGUAGGUGAACCUGCGGAAGGAUCAUUAUCUAUAACCGGGUGUGGCUGCGGCCUCCGGGGGCGUGGGCGUCGAAACGAAGCCCUCUCUUCCGGGUGGUAGAGGUAAAACUCUCACGCACCACAUGUCUGAAUCCUUUUUUUACGAGCACCUUUCGUUCUCCUUCGGUGGGGUGACCUGCCGUUGGAACCCAUCAAAACUCUUUUUGCAUCUAGCAUUACCUGUUCUGAUACAAACAAUCGUUACAACUUUCAACAAUGGAUCUCUUGGCUCUG